Small nuclear RNA from Heteronotia binoei (common prickly gecko), 102 nucleotides. The record is from RefSeq and is a predicted model, not a curated record. NCBI's taxonomy places the organism in Eukaryota, Metazoa, Chordata, Lepidosauria, Squamata, Gekkonidae.
AUGCUUUGGCAGCACAUAUACUAAAACUGGAAUGAUACAGAGAAGCUUAGCAUGAUCCUGGACAAAGAUGACACACACAUGACACAAAGUAUCUACACGCCC